This is a long non-coding RNA of Erythranthe guttata (spotted monkey flower), 2141 nucleotides long. RefSeq lists it as uncharacterized. NCBI's taxonomy places the organism in Eukaryota, Viridiplantae, Streptophyta, Magnoliopsida, Lamiales, Phrymaceae. The record is from RefSeq and is a predicted model, not a curated record.
AAAAUCGGAAAUUUUCCGAAAAGCUUAUAUCCGAUCUGAUCCGUCCGAUUUCCACCCCUACCUAUGGCACAAAAAUUCGAAUUGCUGCCAAAAUCCUCACUCACUCACCAAAAUCUGUGAAACGACUAUAUUGUGUCGUUUCCUGGGUAAAUAAAAUAGGCGAUGAAGCUACAAAAUCAGUGUAAUUCUUGAAGCAAUGGACAACAAACCACUGAAUCGGAAAAUAAAGCGACGUCUGCUAGCAAGGGUACGAAAAGGAUUGUCAAAAAGAGAAAGAAAAAGGGUACAUGUGUUAGACAAUUUCGAUCAAAUAUUUGGGCAAUGUGGUCAUUCUUCAGAAACGUUCAUCUAAAGCAAGCACACCUCGAUUGCCUAAAACGAACGCCCUUCUACCAUUUAGUAUUACCAUUUGCAAAAACACAAGUACUUUCAUCCGCAGUAAGGUGGACACAAGAUGGUAGUAUACAACUACUAGUUACGUAUGACAAAAAAUGAGGUGCAUUCAAAAUAGCAGGCAAAGCUCUCAAUAUACAGCCAAACGAGUUUAACUUGAUAUUUGGAAUCAAAUCUGGAACAAGGGUGAAAUAUUCAAAGCGAAGUAGUAUUUCAUAGUCUCUAUUCGGAAGGAGGAGAUUCCAACGCUACACAAAGGUUUCGCCAAAUAUACUCAAAGAAGAGUUGAUGAAAAUUGUUGGAAGCAACAUUGAAGAGGAUAUUGAGGACACCGUGCGUAUAGUAAUAGUACAUAUAUUGUCCAUUCUUUUAUUUACAAAUUCUGGGGAUGUGGUCAGUGCGUGGAAAUUCAAGUUGUGCGACGACAUCGAUCAAUUAAAAGAGUACAAUUGGGGAAAACCCGUUCUUGAUUUGCUAAUGAAGUAUGUAAAAAACAAUGAAGCAGAAGCGGUGAAAGAUUGUGUACCUCUCUUUCUGUUCUGGAUGUGUGAACGAGUCAAUUAUGUCGAACCAUUACACCUAGACGCAUUUCUAAGAUUCAGAAAAUGGAGCUUGGAGACUUUUAAAGAAAAACUUGCUUGUACAACUAUAAAGGACAUCACCGACAAACAAGUAAUAGGCACCCCAUUGAAGAGACCGAUGUGGAACGUUCAUCGUUGAGUGGAAAUUAUGAAGAACAAGAUAUUAGUGACAACGAGCUGCAUGACAAUGAGGACGAGGAGAGUGACGAUUCAGAAGCAAGAAACGAGCCGCAUGACAGUGAAAGUGAAUCGGUUGAUGCAAAUAAUGUGAACGAUGAUUACCAUGACCAUGAUGCACCAGCUAGUCCCAUUGAGCAAUCUUCGGGGAGAAAGAAACCGAAAUAUGUUGACGAACAGAACGAUGAUUUGUUGACAUAGAACACAAUACUUGAGGCGAGGCUUGCAUGUGCUCUACAGGAGGCAAAAACAUGGCGAACAAAAGCAACCAAUAUUUCGGACCGCAACAAAGAGUUAGAGCAAAGAAUUAAAACCUCAACUGACCCACAGUUAGCUACAGAGUUCGAGGUUCUCUAAGUACGUCUGGAAUGUGUAGCGUUGGAAUCUCCUCCUUCCGAGUAGAGACUGUGGAAUACUACUUUGCUUUGUAUAUUUCACCCGUGUUCCAGAUUUGAUUCCAAAUAUCAAGUCAAACUCGUUUGGCUAUAUAUUGAGAGCUUUGCCUGCUAUUUCGAAUGCACCUCGUUUUUUAUCAUACGUAAGAAGUAGUUGUAUACUACCAUCUUGUGUCCCCCUAACUGCGGAUGAAAGUACUUGUUUUCCGUAAAUGGUAAUACUAAAUGGUAGAAGGGUGUUCGUUUUAGGCAAUCGAGGUGUGCUUGCUUUAGUUGAACGUUCCUGACGAAUGACCACGUUGCCCAAAGUUUUGAUCGAAACUGUCUAACCCAAGUAUAUUGAGGUUGUUUUCUAUACAUAAUGUUUAUAUCCCAAAAAACAUACCGCACGUAUGAUGUUUAUGAUACGUCCGAAUAGAACAAAACUUGUUAUAUUUGUCAACGGAAGCGAGUAUUCUCCAGCAACAUUGUUUUUCAUGUUUGUACUUACACAUCGUCGUCACCCUAUAUGACUCGUUCUUGAAAUACUUGUACUCAAACCCCAUUUCAAUUGAAAACUUAAUAAGCAUUUUUCUGAAAUCGGCAACAGGACCUU